Molecule: long non-coding RNA, 383 nt
Filed under: Brassica napus (rape)
Lineage: Eukaryota; Viridiplantae; Streptophyta; Magnoliopsida; Brassicales; Brassicaceae
Description: long non-coding RNA (BNAP_LNC020715)
Source: RNAcentral
GAUUUCAUUAUCGGCCACAUAGAUUCUUCUCCACUGAUUAGCCUCUUUACUGCCAUGGAAUCUGUCUCAAAGACCACUCUUGUAUAUCCAAACUUGGAGAGAGUGUGAAUGGUUCAUUUUAGUGCUUCAGCCUCUGCUUCCAACGCUUAUCUCAAUCUUGAUAGCUUCCUCGCCCCUGCCCACACUAGAUUUCCAUGAUGGGGUCUCUCUCCACCUAUCCCAUUCCACCUUCUCCCGUAUCUUUUAUUCCAGGCUCCAUCAAUGUUACAUUUGAUCCAUGUUGGUGGUGGUGGCCUCCAUCUCCGUUCAGAUUUCUCUGUUGUGGUGUUUUUAACUUCUACAUUUUUAAUUUUUUCUCUGUUUUUGCACUCCCUCUCGUCCUC